GAACCGUCCAAACGUUUAUCCGGAAUCACUGGGCUUAAAGGGUACGUAGGCGGCCCGGAAAGUUGGGUGUGAAAUCCCUCGGCUCAACCGAGGAACUGCGCUCAAAACUUCCGGGCUUGAGGGAGACAGAGGUGAGCGGAACUUGCGGUGGAGCGGUGAAAUGCGUUGAUAUCGCAAGGAACACCAGUAGCGAAGGCGGCUCACUGGGUCUCUUCUGACGCUGAGGUACGAAAGCUAGGGGAGCGAACGGGAUUAGAUACCCCGGGUAGUCCUAGCUGUAAACGAUGAGCACUUGGUUGGAGGCUCCCUCCAUAGGCUUCCAGCCGAAGCGAAAGUGUUAAGUGCUCCGCCUGGGGAGUAUGGUCGCAAGGCUG
Molecule: ribosomal RNA, 374 nt
Filed under: uncultured organism
Description: partial 16S ribosomal RNA
Rfam family: Bacterial small subunit ribosomal RNA
Source: RNAcentral